RNAcentral lists this small nuclear RNA (96 nucleotides) under Schistosoma curassoni. The record is from RNAcentral. Lineage: Eukaryota; Metazoa; Platyhelminthes; Trematoda; Strigeidida; Schistosomatidae.
GCGCUUCGGCGGUGCAUAUACUAAAAUUGGAACGAUACAGAGAAUAUUAGCAUCGCCCUCUGCAAGAAAUGGUAAUCAUAAGCAUUUUACAAUUCA